AUUGAACGCUGGCGGCAGGCUUAACACAUGCAAGUCGAGCGGGGUGAUGGUGCUUGCACUAUCACUUAGCGGCGGACGGGUGAGUAAUGCUUAGGAAUCUGCCUAUUAGUGGGGGACAACAUCUCGAAAGGGAUGCUAAUACCGCAUACGUCCUACGGGAGAAAGCAGGGGAUCACUUGUGACCUUGCGCUAAUAGAUGAGCCUAAGUCUGGAUUAGCUGGUUGGUGGGGUAAAGGCCUAGCAAGGCGACGAUCUGUAGCGGGUCAGAGAGGAUGAGCCGCCACAGUGGGACCGAGACACGGCCCAGACUCCUACGGGAGACAGCAGUUGUGAAUAUUGGACAAGUGGGGGAACCCUGAUCCAGCCAUGCCGCGUGUGUGAAGAAGGCCUUAUGGUUGUAAGGCACUUUAAGCGAGGAGGGGGCUCUUUUGGUUAAUACCCAAGAUGAGUGGACGUUACUCGCAGAAUAAGCACCGGCUAACUCUGUGCCAGCCGCCGCAGUAA
This 504-nucleotide ribosomal RNA is filed under the name uncultured bacterium. Its description in RNAcentral is "partial 16S ribosomal RNA". It matches the Rfam family "Bacterial small subunit ribosomal RNA", at positions 30 to 523 of the family's 1533-position model. The record is from RNAcentral.